This is a long non-coding RNA of Gallus gallus (chicken), 2540 nucleotides long. Lineage: Eukaryota; Metazoa; Chordata; Aves; Galliformes; Phasianidae. The record is from Ensembl.
CUGUUCCUGGAUGCAUUCAAGGCCAGGCUGGAUGUGGCUCUGGGCAGCCUGGUCUAGCGGUUGGUGACCCUGCACAUAGCAGGGGGGUUGAAACUAGGUGAUCAUUGUGGUCCUGUUCAACCCAGGCCAUUCCAUGAUUCUAUUACUCUACAAUUCUAUGAUUCUAUUGUUUCCUUAAUAGAGUGUUGUUUUUUAGCUCAUUAAUACAAUUUUCACUGGGUGAUUUAAUCACUCAUAUGCAGAGGAGGUUUGUUUUUCUGUGUGUCUACGUAUGGCUCAUUAAUGGCUUGUUUCCUAGCAUUGUUUGCCAACUUUAAUUUAGUCACUUUUCCUAGUAUAACCAAAUAGUAGAUGGAAUACAUUCUUCUUAACAUGUUUUAUAAUCACUGCUCAGCUUAUGGCAACAACAAAGGAUGCAAAAGAUAUUGGCCCUAGGUGUCUAUUUCAAGCAAAUAUGUUAGUAUCCAGUAUUUUUUUUUUAACAUAUAGCAAACCAAAAUAAGCAUAGAAUACACUAACAUAUAGCUUAUGAAGAUCAGCAGCUAUUUAGGUUGCCAACCCCUCUGAUUCUUCUAAGUGUUUUAUUUAAAUGUUUAUUCUGCAAAUAAGAAUUUGAACCUAAAUCCUUAGUAACUACUCUAAAAGUCAAACUAAUGAAUAAUUCAUACUUAUUCUUUUCUUCUCUACAGCUUAAGUACUUGUUUAUGUCAGGAAAAAAGAAUUAAAUAUAUCAGGGAAACUGAAAAUUCCCUAUUACACAAAAUUCUAUCACAUUUAAUAUUUUCCUGUGGAUGUGAAGUCGAAACCUCAGAGAGAACAAGUUUUCACACCCUGGGACAAGAAAUCAGUAAAAUAAUAACUAGCUGAUGCCAAAUCUCCAUUCUUAACUUAACCAGAGAACAGGUACAUGCUUGCAAAUUCCAUCGGGGGGAUAAGAACUUCCUUAAAAUAGUGAAUAAGCGACCAUAGUCUACAAAGCAGUUAUAUUAAUACAUUCUCUUUUGACAUUAUCCUUUUGACUGUCAUUGGCAUUUCACUGCUUUAGUAGGCUGUCUUUCCUGUCUCCAGAUUUUAGAUGCUUCAUUACUCCUAGGCAUGAUGUUAAGAAGUAAUCACCUCAUUCAUGCAAAUAGAUUCUAGGAAUCAAAGAGGCCAGAACUUUGUUGCUGCAAUAAUCAGUCUUCCGGGACUUGGUUGUUUUCUGAAUCUAGUUCCCAGGCUCUGUGACUAUGUUGAGAGAGAAUAGCUCUUCCCCACUUUUCAGAAAUAAAAAUGAAUCAGAAUAAAAACGGAAAAGAUUGUAAGGUGACUCGAUGUCUUAGGUGUCAUAUAUUAUUUCAUCAUUUAGCAGAUUUACUCAAGAGGGCGAUAUUAAGACAGAAGAAAAUUUGACAGCACUUACCACAUAUCCUGGUUAUUAAUUUCUUGACGUCUUAGAAAGGAACACAAAAUAGAGUGACGGUUUCCCCUCAGUGGGAAUUUGAGCGUCAAGAAGUCUUCAAGUAAAGAGAUAAAUAAUCCUUUUUGUACGUUCUUUAUAAAGAGAGAAUAAUCUGAUUUUCUAUGAGUUCAUAAAUCUAAUUUGUGACAGUCCAAAAAUAUUCAUGGUUUAUGUAGUGUUACUGUUAUUGCUGUCACUAUCAUCAUUACUGUUACUAUUGCUAUUGUGAUUACAGUUCCUACUAGAAUUAUUUGAAUUAUUGUUAUCUCAUCUUAGUAUUCAUUCAUGAACAGGGAUCUUCUUUUCUUAUUUUCAUUUUCUGAUUUAAGGCUGAAACUUCUCUUUAUUUUUUCAUCUUGAAUACUUCAGUAAUUCACUUGUUCUCAGCCUAUGAAAAAGGAAGGAUUCCCAAAUUCUGCUCCGAAUCUUUUGAUCUGUAAGAUGAAACUGCCUCUUUCCUCUUUUCCCAUAGACACCUUCAUUCAUACAUACUUAUGUAACCAGAAACAAACAAACAAAAAACAAAAACAUUCAAAGAAUGUUUAAGGUGGCUAAGAAAAACAAACAAAAGGAAAUGUUAGUCAAAGAUGAAAGGUACCAUAUGUCCUCCAAAGCCUUGGUACAAUGGGGAUCCACCUAAACAGCUUUUAUAAUGCACCCUGUCGUGGCUAGGUAUUGAAAGACAUAUGGUGCAUCUCAUCCUGAACUGUGAAUUUCCUGAAACAGCUGUAACGUUCUUUUAAUGUUUUUUUCUGGAUAAUGAUACUUUCACAGUUUAUUCUAUUUAGCCAUUUUUCCUGAAUGGUUAAGAGGGCCCAUCUUCUAUAUCAGUCCAUAGAAAAGUUGCAACAGUGUAUCAUUUAUCUUCUGGUUGCAUAAUUUUGUCUUUUUCACAGAAAUUAUUACACACAGGCUUGAAGUUUUUGGUCACUGUGCACAGUGAGACAUCCAUUCAAGGUUUCUGCCUUCUGUUAAGAUUAUGAAUAGGAACAAUACACAGACAGGCACAGAGUUAAUCAGGAAAUUAUCUCUUUGUUUUUGUAGUGGUACAUUUCAUUUUCCUAUUCUUAUUUUUGUAAGAUAAUUAGGGAAAAUUGCA